This 720-nucleotide ribosomal RNA is filed under the name uncultured archaeon. RNAcentral describes it as "bacterial SSU rRNA". It matches the Rfam family "Archaeal small subunit ribosomal RNA", at positions 52 to 776 of the family's 1478-position model. The record is from RNAcentral.
UGCAGUCCAGGCCACCCUUGAGGUGACCGGCAGACUGCUCAGUAACACNNCNUNNACCUGCCCUAUUGUCUGGGAUAACCUCGGGAAACUGAGGNUAAAACCGGAUAGAGGACUAUGCCUGGAAUGGCUUGUCCUUCAAAGGUCACGCAGUAGGAUGGGACGGCGGCCGAUUAGGUUGUUGGCGGGGUAAAGGCCCACCAAGCCGAUGAUCGGUACGGGUCGUGAGAGCGAGAGCCCGGAGAAGGGUACUGAGAUACGGACCCUAGCCCUACGGGGUGCAGCAGGCGCGAAACCUCAGCAAUGCACGAAAGUGUGACUGGGGGACUCCGAGUGCUCAUGUAACGCAUGGGCUUUUGUUAGCGGUAAGGUCGCUAGCGAAUAAGUGGGGGGUAAUACUGGUGCCAGCCGCCGCGGUAACACCAGAGCCACGAGUGGGGACCGCUCUUAUUGGGCCUAAAGCGNUCGUAGCCGGUCCGGUAAAUCUUCUGUGAAAUCGCAACGCUUAACGUUGUGNCGUGCAGAAGAGACUGCCGGACUUGGGANCGGGAGGCGUAUGAGGUAUUCUGGGGGUAGCGGUAAAAUGCGAUCAUCCUCAGAGGACCACCUGUGGCGAANGCGUCAUACGAGAACGGAUCCNACGGUGAGGGACGAAAGCUAGGGGAGCAAACCGGAUUAGAUACCCGAGUAGUCCNAGCAGUAAACGCUGCGAGCAAGGNGUUG